RNAcentral lists this ribosomal RNA (464 nucleotides) under uncultured bacterium. Its description in RNAcentral is "partial 16S ribosomal RNA". It matches the Rfam family "Bacterial small subunit ribosomal RNA", at positions 28 to 506 of the family's 1533-position model. The record is from RNAcentral.
GACGAACGCUGGCGGCGUGCUUAACACAUGCAAGUCGAACGGAAAGGCCCCCUUGUGGGGUACUCGAGUGGCGAACGGGUGAGUAACACGUGAGUAACCUACCCUUGACUUUGGGAUAACUUCAGGAAACGGGGGCUAAUACCGGAUAGGAGCUCCUGCUGCAGGGGGGGGGUGGGAAAGUUUCGGCGGUUGGGGUUGGACUCGCGGCUUAUCAGCUGGUUGGUGGGUUAGUGGCUCACCAAGGCUUUGACGGGUAGCCGGCCUGAGGGGGGGACGGGCCACAUGGGGGCUGAGAUACGGCCCAGACUCCUACGGGAGGCAGCAGGGGGGAAUAUUGCAAAAGGGGCGGAAGCCUGAUGCAGCAACGCCGCGUGCGGGAUGACGGCCUUCGGGUUGUAAACCGCUUUCGCGUGUGACGAAGCGUGAGUGACGGUAAUGGGUAAGGAAGCACCGGCUAACUACGU